This 455-nucleotide ribosomal RNA is filed under the name uncultured bacterium. RNAcentral describes it as "bacterial SSU rRNA". It matches the Rfam family "Bacterial small subunit ribosomal RNA", at positions 28 to 484 of the family's 1533-position model. The record is from RNAcentral.
GAUGAACGCUGGCGGCGUGCCUUACACAUUCAAGUCGAACGGAGUUACUUUGGUGAAGUUUUUGGAUGGAUUUGAUUUAACUUAGUGGCGGACGGGUGAGUAACGCGUGGGUAACCUGCCUUGUACUGGGGGAUAGCAGCUGGAAACGGCUGGUAAUACCGCAUAAGCGCACAAUGUUGCAUGACAUGGUGUGAAAAAAUCCGGUGGUAUAAGAUGGACCCGCGUUUGAUUAGCUAGUUGGUGAGAUAACAGCCCCCCAAGGCGACGAUCAGUAGCCGACCUGAGAGGGUGGCCGGCCACAUUGGGACUGAGACCCGGCCCCGACUCCUUCGGGAGGCAGCAGUGGGGAAUAUUGCACAAUGGAGGAAACUUUGAUGCAGGGACGCCGCGUGAGUGAAGAAGUAAUUCGUUAUGUAAAGCUUUAUCAGCAGGGAAGAUAGUGACGGUACCUGACU